RNAcentral lists this transfer RNA (70 nucleotides) under Camelus bactrianus (Bactrian camel). It matches the Rfam family "tRNA". Rfam says of the family: Transfer RNA (tRNA) molecules are approximately 80 nucleotides in length. Their secondary structure includes four short double-helical elements and three loops (D, anti-codon, and T loops). RNAcentral also lists the same sequence under 2 other names. Lineage: Eukaryota; Metazoa; Chordata; Mammalia; Artiodactyla; Camelidae. The record is from Rfam by way of RNAcentral.
GGGUAUAGCUCAGUGGUAGAGCGGAUUCUUAGCAUGCAUAAGAUCCUGGGUUCAAUUCUCAGUACCUCCA